GGAGGAGGAAGUGCUGAAGAAGUUGAAAAAUUUUCUAAUGAAAAUUCAAAGUCAAAAGCUGAUUAUGCUGAGAUGUUGAUGUCACAUAUGCACAGAUCUCGCCUUUAUGCUCGCAAGCAAUUUUUCGUUUACUGAUAAAGAUUAAUUCCCUUUUUUCCUCUUCUAAAUAAAUUAAUUUCUUUUACUUUCACAUUGUAUUAGUGCAGACCCCAGC
This 214-nucleotide unclassified non-coding RNA is filed under the name Hevea brasiliensis (rubber tree). The record is from RNAcentral. Lineage: Eukaryota; Viridiplantae; Streptophyta; Magnoliopsida; Malpighiales; Euphorbiaceae.